This 1704-nucleotide ribosomal RNA is filed under the name Triticum aestivum (bread wheat). Its description in RNAcentral is "partial small subunit ribosomal RNA". Lineage: Eukaryota; Viridiplantae; Streptophyta; Magnoliopsida; Poales; Poaceae. The record is from RNAcentral.
AUGGAAGGCGCCGUGGCGCAGAGCAUCCUGAGCAAUGUUGGGCAGCUGGUGGGCGAGGAGUUUCGGCAGCUCCGCGCCGUUGGCGGCGAGGUUGCGGAGCUGAGGGACGAGCUGGCCACCAUGAACGCGCUCCUGCGCAUGCAGACUGAAGCCGAAGAUGGCGCCGUGGACCACUUCAUUCGCGAGUGGAUGAAGCAGCUGCGCGAGCUCGCCUACGACGCCGAGGACUGCGUCGACCUCUACAUAUUCCGCAUAAGGUGCCAGUCGAAAGACGGGUUUCUCGUCUGGUCUAAGCGCCUGCUUGCGACGCUUUUCCCCCGCCAUCGCCUUGCUGGUAACAUCAGGACCCUCCGUGCGCGCGCUGUCACCAUCAGCGAGCGCCAUGCCCGGUAUGGCGUCAGCCGCGAGGCGCUGCACCGGUCUCCUUCCGUAGCCCCAGUGAUGGCGGCGGCGUCGUCCGCGAAAGCGCUCCGCCCUGCCAACGACCCUGACCAGUUCGUCGGCAUCGAGGACCAGGCAAACAUCCUAGCCAAAAGGGUGAAGGCCAUGGUGCAUGACAAUAGCGAAGAACGUGACAAGAAUCUCAAGGUGUUCUCCAUCGUGGGAUUUGGAGGGCUCGGAAAGACAACGUUGGCCAUGGAGGUGUGCCGGCAGCUGGAGACAGAGUUCGACCGGCAAGCGCAAGUGUCGGUGUCUCAGAUGUUCGAUGGUGGGAACGAUCUCAAGGAACUGCUGAAGCGCGUGCUUCAGCAGAUCGUUAAGAACAAAGCAGCUAAUGAAAAAGGAAUAGAGGAAGAGGAUCCAUUGGCUGGCAUCGACACCAUGGAUGUGAACAAACUUGCCGACAAGCUUGAGGACCUACUUAAAGAGAAGAGGUACCUGAUUGUGAUCGAUGAUGUAUGGACUGUAGCAGCAUGGGAUGCAAUCCAUUCCAAGUUGCCAGAAAACAAAUGCGGCAGCAGAAUCAUUGUAACCACUCGAAUAGAGACUGUGGCCAAAGAAUGCAGUGAUCCAAGUGUUGGCGAUUAUUGCAUCUACCGCAUUCAACCACUCAAUCCAGAAUACUCUAGGAAGUUGUUCCUCAGUAGAGCAUUUGGCUCUAUGGACGCUCCUUGCCAUGAAGGGCUAGCAGAUACAAUGGAAGAUAUUUUGAAGAAGUGUGCUGGGCUGCCGUUAGCAAUUGUUAGCAUUGCCAGCCUGUUGGCAAGCUAUAAAUAUCCAGAGAGGAAAGAUAUGUGGGAGACAGUUUGUAAAUCAAUUGGUUCGCAGAUGGAGAGCAACCCUACCCUCGAGGGGAUGAGUCAAAUACUCACACUCAGUUUCAACCACCUGCCUUAUCACAUCAAGUGUUGCAUGAUGUAUCUAAGCCUUUUCCCUGAGGAUUAUGAAAUCAACAAGAAUAGGCUCUUGUACAGAUGGAUCGCCGAAGGAUUGAUCGAGGAGAAGCGGGGAUUGACUUUGUUGGAGGUUGCAGAAUCCUACUUCGAUGAGUUGAUGAGUAGGAGCAUGAUCGAUCCAGCCUCCUCUAUAGGGUUCGAUGGGAGGAGGGAGGCGUGCCGCGUGCACGACAUGAUGCUCGAGGUCAUGGUGUCCAGAUCCCUAGAGGCUAACUUUGUUAGCGUAGUACUCCCUCCGUUCAUAAAUAUAAGUCUUUCUAGAGAUUUCACUAUGGACUAUAUACGGAUGUAUAUAGACUUAGUUUAG